UACUUCCAGGCAGUCAGGGGUCUGCUGCUGAUUGGGCUCUGCCUCAGAUUGCUCGGGACUGUGCUCUCGGUUUUUGGGAAGGAGUGUACGUGGAUAGGCGGAGGGUUUAUGGAGGGGGCAGCGAAGUACCAAGGACUGGAUGCUGAUGGGAGUGUGGGCUGUCCAACUGCUGGGCUGUAAGAGGGAUCAGUUCUAGAAAACUCGAGCUGCUGUUGUGAAAACAAACUGCUACUCACUGGUUUGUCUCGUUUCCCCCUCUCUUCCGUCUCCACCAGGCAUUUCAGACGUGGCUGGUCACUGUUUAGACAUAAACAAAGUGACUUCAGCUGUUUUACACAUCAAAGCAGAUUAAUGAGGAAGGGUGCCAUGUUACAUGAGAACAUCAAGAUUAUGAAUAAACAUACUUUUCGAUCACAUCUCCUCAGCUACUAGAUCGGACCGCCUCUCUACCUCGGUUUGGUGGGGAGUCUCCUGUUGCUUGGCUGCACGGUUCACUGCGCAACUGCAUGCAGUUAUCCGCCCACAAAGGAUGAAGAACACGUCAGCAAAAAGAAGGAUUUCUUCUUACAAGAUGGCCGCCGUUGUCACGUAACAAAACCGCACUGAAACCGUCCAUGUUCGACUUACUCCAGAGCCAAAACUACGAACUCGAGAAUUCUACGGCCUCCAUCUGAAUCAUGAUACUGUCCCCACAGCAUGAUGGUGCCACUCCCAUGUUUAACUUUUGAGGAUGGAUUGACAAAGGUUUUGAUUAAUAUACAAGCAAAUUUUAAUUUUGAGUGGGGGGGAGGACUAAUUAAAAACUAGACAGUUUUCAUACCAAAAAUUUAGUUCAAAUAUAUCAAUUAAUUGAUAUCAAUUACUGCUGUAUAACCAGUUUUAUUGAGUUAUGCAACAGUAAAGUGAUCUAAAGCACUCAAAUGAGAGCAAAAAUUGACGAGUGGCCUAGUCAAAUCCCAUGAGAUGCCGAGGUCUGACGUUAAAGCAGCUUAAGGUCCUAAAACCUCCAUUAAGUUUAAAUGGGUUAGUCUAGAUAUCUUCUACACAUUAGUAAAUGGGUUUUUUUAUUCCAUAUUGUAUUUGCUCUGGUUAUUUUUUAUAUUUUUAUAUGUUUGAUCUGAAUCAUGUGAAACCAAAACAGACGCUGCAUUCCUCUGGUCUAGUUUGGUUAAACUAUUUCUGUGCAGCCACUUGGAAACUGUUGGAAGAAAAGCUAUAUAAAUAAAAAUUAUAUUGACAGUUU
Xiphophorus couchianus (Monterrey platyfish) is the source of this 1243-nucleotide long non-coding RNA. RefSeq lists it as uncharacterized. The transcript has 2 exons. The record is from RefSeq and is a predicted model, not a curated record. NCBI's taxonomy places the organism in Eukaryota, Metazoa, Chordata, Actinopteri, Cyprinodontiformes, Poeciliidae.